RNAcentral lists this ribosomal RNA (468 nucleotides) under uncultured bacterium. RNAcentral describes it as "partial 16S ribosomal RNA". It matches the Rfam family "Bacterial small subunit ribosomal RNA", at positions 28 to 507 of the family's 1533-position model. The record is from RNAcentral.
GACGAACGCUGGCGGCGUGCUUAACACAUGCAAGUCGAACGGAAAGGCCCUGCUUUUGUGGGGUGCUCGAGUGGCGAACGGGUGAGUAACACGUGAGUAACCUGCCCUUGACUUUGGGAUAACUUCAGGAAACUGGGGCUAAUACCGGAUAGGAGCUCCUGCUGCAUGGUGGGGGUUGGAAAGUUUCGGCGGUUGGGGAUGGACACGCGGCUUAUCAGCUUGUUGGUGGGGUAGUGGCUUACCAAGGCUUUGACGGGUAGCCGGCCUGGGAGGGUGACCGGCCACAUUGGGACUGAGAUACGGCCCAGACUCCUACGGGGGGCAGCAGUGGGGAAUAGUGCACGAUGGGCGGAGGCCUGAUGCAGCAACGCCGCGUGCGGGAUGACGGCCUUCGGGUUGUAAACCGCGUUCGCCUGUGACGAAGCGUGAGUGACGGUAAUGGGUAAAGAAGCACCGGCUAACUACGUG